This 305-nucleotide ribosomal RNA is filed under the name uncultured bacterium. RNAcentral's name for it is "bacterial SSU rRNA". It matches the Rfam family "Bacterial small subunit ribosomal RNA", at positions 338 to 660 of the family's 1533-position model. The record is from RNAcentral.
CCUACGGGGCGCAGCAGUGGGGAAUAUUGGACAAUGGGGGGAACCCUGAUCCAGCGACGCCGCGUGAGUGAAGAAGUAUUUCGGUAUGUAAAGCUCUGUCAGCAGGGAAGAGAAUCACGGUACCUGACCAAGAAGCCCCGGCUAAAUACGUGCCAGCAGCCGCGGUAAUACGUAUGGGGCAAGCGUUAUCCGGAUUUACUGGGUGUAAAGGGAGCGUAGGCGGCAGGGCAAGCCUGAUGUGAAAGCCCGGGGCUCAACCCCGGGACUGCAUUGGGAACUGCCCCGCUCGAGUGCCGGAGGGGCAG